RNAcentral lists this microRNA (22 nucleotides) under Sarcophilus harrisii (Tasmanian devil). RNAcentral describes it as "Sha-Mir-489_3p (mature (guide))". The record is from RNAcentral. Lineage: Eukaryota; Metazoa; Chordata; Mammalia; Dasyuromorphia; Dasyuridae.
AUGACAUCAUGCGUAUGGCUGC